This 493-nucleotide ribosomal RNA is filed under the name uncultured bacterium. Its description in RNAcentral is "partial 16S ribosomal RNA". It matches the Rfam family "Bacterial small subunit ribosomal RNA", at positions 29 to 523 of the family's 1533-position model. The record is from RNAcentral.
AUUGAACGCUGGCGGCAUGCUUUACACAUGCAAGUCGAACGGUAACAGGUUAAGCUGACGAGUGGCGAACGGGUGAGUAAUGCAUCGGAACGUGCCCGAUCGUGGGGGAUAACGCAGCGAAAGCUGCGCUAAUACCGCAUACGAUCUGAGGAUGAAAGCGGGGGACCGUAAGGCCUCGCGCGAUCGGAGCGGCCGAUGUCAGAUUAGGUAGUUGGUGGGGUAAAGGCCCACCAAGCCGACGAUCUGUGGCUGGUCUGCGAGGACGACCAGCCACACUGGGGCGGAGACACGGCCCAGAUGCCUACGGGAGGCAGCAGUGGGGAAUGUUGGAGAAUGGGCGAAAGCCUGAUCCAGCAAUGCCGCGGGCAGGAAGAAGGCCUUCGGGUUGUAAACUGCUUUUGUACGGAGCGAAAAGGUCCUUUCUAAUACAAGGGGCUCAUGACGGUACCGUAAGAAUAAGCACCGGCUAACUACGUGCCAGCAGCCGCGGUAA